This 952-nucleotide unclassified non-coding RNA is filed under the name Hevea brasiliensis (rubber tree). The record is from RNAcentral. Lineage: Eukaryota; Viridiplantae; Streptophyta; Magnoliopsida; Malpighiales; Euphorbiaceae.
UGCUUUAAAAGGAGAUUUUGUAAGGUACCUUGCUGUGGAUUUAUUCAAAAGUUUUAUAUGCAAAAUAUGUAAGUAUUCUUAUGCCACAUUUACUUAAGACUAAUGGCACAAAGCUUUUUGAAGUUUUCCUGAAAUGACAUUUGCAGAUGCAUGUUGAUCUCAUCUAUUGAAUUUAUUUAUAUUGGUGUGAGUUGGUGUAUUUGCAGCUAUCUAAUACAAUAAUCAUUUCUUUCUUCUGACAAGAGAUUGUAAAUAUCAUUAAUAAAACAUCUGGUUUUGUAUGAGUAAUUUUAUGCAUAGAGAUACUAUUUAAACAUAAGUUUAAUGAAACUAGUCAAUUGUACUAAAGUAUUAAUUAGAAGAAACUUCAAAGAGAUUUAAUGAUGCGAAAAAUUCCUGUCCCUUAAGUGUCAAGGCAUUAAAGCACAUGGUACUUUUCUAAACUUUUCCCUACAGUUUUCAUCAUUGCCCUUUGACACUAUGAUGACUGGUGCAGUGCUUUUGAGGUGCACUUACAGUUCAAUGUUUAUAGCAACUUUACUGUUGCAUUUGACUUAUUCUAUUGCGUUCUCUCUGUUUGGAUAUGUUUGUAUAUAUUGAAAUCUUUGUGCUUUAUCUUUUCCUGCAAUUAGUGUUUUUAACUGUAGAGGAGUGAUAUUAAUAUAUAUUGGUGUCAAGAUCAGUAUUCAUCAUUUAAUUCAUGGAUCUCAACAAAUGGGGGACCUAGCAGUCUUAUUUUUCUAAGAUGCAGUGUGACAAUUUUAUAAUGACUCACUUCAUAUUCUCUUUUUGCUCAUUGCAAUACUCCCUACUUUUGAUGCUUUUGGUCAAAAAGCUUCAUUAUAUACUUCAGUCUCUGCAGUCAUGUUGGCCGUAUUUGCUUGCAUUGAUAUUCUCACACUUUGGUCACUCACUCCUGUUGUAUUGCAGAUGUGGCCAGCGGACAGCCCAA